Molecule: ribosomal RNA, 473 nt
Filed under: uncultured bacterium
Lineage: Bacteria
Description: bacterial SSU rRNA
Rfam family: Bacterial small subunit ribosomal RNA
Source: RNAcentral
GCAGAGCACUCCUACGGGAGGCAGCAGUGGGGAAUAUUGGACAAUGGGGGAAACCCUGAUCCAGCCAUGCCGCGUGUGUGAAGAAGGCCUUCGGGUUGUAAAGCACUUUCAGUGGGGAGGAAAGGUUGAUGGUUAAUACCUAUCAGCUGUGACGUUACCCACAGAAGAAGCACCGGCUAACUCCGUGCCAGCAGCCGCGGUAAUACGGAGGGUGCAAGCGUUAAUCGGAAUUACUGGGCGUAAAGCGUGCGCAGGCGGUGUGUUAAGCGAGAUGUGAAAGCCCCGGGCUCAACCUGGGAACUGCAUUUCGAACUGGCAGACUAGAGUCUUGUAGAGGGGGGUAGAAUUCCAGGUGUAGCGGUGAAAUGCGUAGAGAUCUGGAGGAAUACCGGUGGCGAAGGCGGCCCCCUGGACAAAGACUGACGCUCAGGCACGAAAGCGUGGGGAGCAAACAGGAUUAAAUACCCUGGUAG